This 398-nucleotide ribosomal RNA is filed under the name uncultured bacterium. RNAcentral describes it as "bacterial SSU rRNA". It matches the Rfam family "Bacterial small subunit ribosomal RNA", at positions 30 to 429 of the family's 1533-position model. The record is from RNAcentral.
AUUGAACGCUGGCGGCAUGCCUUACACAUGCAAGUCGAACGGCAGCGGGCCUUCGGGUGCCGGCGAGUGGCGAACGGGUGAGUAAUGCAUCGGAACGUGCCAUUGAGUGGGGGAUAACGUAGCGAAAGUUGCGCUAAUACCGCAUAUUCUGUGAGCAGGAAAGCAGGGGACCGCAAGGCCUUGCGCUCUUUGAGCGGCCGAUGUCAGAUUAGCUAGUUGGUGAGGUAAAGGGCUUACCAAGGCGACGAUCUGUAGCGGGUCUGAGAGGAUGAUCCGCCACACUGGAACUGAGACACGGUCCAGACUCCUACGGGAGGCAGCAGUGGGGAAUUUUGGGACAAUGGGGGCAACCCUGAUCCAGCCAUGCCGCGUGAGUGAAGAAGGCCUUCGGUUGUAAG